Molecule: ribosomal RNA, 861 nt
Filed under: uncultured bacterium
Lineage: Bacteria
Description: bacterial SSU rRNA
Rfam family: Bacterial small subunit ribosomal RNA
Source: RNAcentral
GGGCAGCGGGGAGCAAGCUUGCUUGCUCUGCCGGCGACCGGCGCACGGGUGAGUAACACGUAUGCAACCUGCCCUCCGCAGGGGGAUAACCCGGAGAAAUCCGGACUAAUACCGCGUGGUACACCGGUGGGGCAUCCCACGGGUGUUAAAAGGAAGUGAUUCCGGCGGAGGAUGGGCAUGCGGCGCAUUAGCUAGUUGGCGGGGUAACGGCCCACCAAGGCGACGAUGCGUAGGGGUUCUGAGAGGAAGGUCCCCCACACUGGUACUGAGACACGGACCAGACUCCUACGGGAGGCAGCAGUGAGGAAUAUUGGUCAAUGGGCGGGAGCCUGAACCAGCCAAGUCGCGUGAGGGAAGACGGUCCUAUGGAUUGUAAACCUCUUUAGGCGGGGAGCAAUGCCGGGCACGCGUGCCCGGAGGGAGAGUACCCGCAGAAUAAGCAUCGGCUAACUCCGUGCCAGCAGCCGCGGUAAUACGGAGGAUGCGAGCGUUAUCCGGAUUUAUUGGGUUUAAAGGGUGCGUAGGCGGAUUUUUAAGUCAGCGGUAAAAUGUCCGGGCUCAACCCGGGCCGGCCGUUGAAACUGGGGAUCUUGAGUGGGCGAGAAGUAUGCGGAAUGCGUGGUGUAGCGGUGAAAUGCAUAGAUAUCACGCAGAACUCCGAUUGCGAAGGCAGCAUACCGGCGCCCGACUGACGCUGAGGCACGAAAGCGUGGGGAUCGAACAGGAUUAGAUACCCUGGUAGUCCACGCAGUANACGAUGAAUGCUAGUUGUCCGGNUCUUUGGGACUGGGUGACACAGCGAAAGCGUUAAGCAUUCCACCUGGGGAGUACGCCGGCAACGGUGAAACUCAAAGGAAUUGA